UGGGGAAUAUUGCACAAUGGGCGCAAGCCUGAUGCAGCCAUGCCGCGUGUAUGAAGAAGGCCUUCGGGUUGUAAAGUACUUUCAGUCGGGAGGAAGGUGGUAAGGUUAAUAACCUUAACAAUUGACGUUGCCGACAGAAGAAGCACCGGCUAACUCCGUGCCAGCAGCCGCGGUAAUACGGAGGGUGCAAGCGUUAAUCGGAAUUACUGGGCGUAAAGCGCACGCAGGCGGUUGAUUGAGUCAGAUGUGAAAUCCCCGGGCUUAACCCGGGAAUUGCAUCUGAUACUGGUCAGCUAGAGUCUUGUAGAGGGGGGUAGAAUUCCAUGUGUAGCGGUGAAAUGCGUAGAGAUGUGGAGGAAUACCGGUGGCGAAGGCGGCCCCCUGGACAAAGACUGACGCUCAGGUGCGAAAGCGUGGGGAGCAAACAGG
RNAcentral lists this ribosomal RNA (429 nucleotides) under Chloroflexota bacterium. RNAcentral's name for it is "Chloroflexi bacterium partial 16S ribosomal RNA". It matches the Rfam family "Bacterial small subunit ribosomal RNA", at positions 355 to 776 of the family's 1533-position model. Lineage: Bacteria; Bacillati; Chloroflexota. The record is from RNAcentral.